CCCCGAUGGGCCAUGGCUCCUGGAAUGGGCUAUGGCUGAAAUCUACAUGGCCCCAGGAUGGGACUGCGGCCGAUCAGGUUGUUGGUGGGGUAAUGGCCCACCAAGCCUAUAACCGGUGCGGGCUCUGAGAGGAGGAGCCCGGAGAUGGGCACUGAGACAAGGGCCCAGGUCCUAUGGGGCGCAGCAGGCGCGAAACCUCCGCAAUGGGUGAAAGCCCGACGGGGUCAGUCCGAGUGGUUCCCGCUGAGGGAACCUUUUGCCAGCUGUAAACAGGCUGGCGAAUAAGGGGUGGGCAAGUUUGGUGUCAGCCGCCGCGGUAAUACCAGCACCCCGAGUGGUCGGGACGAUUAUUGGGCCUAAAGCAUCCGUAGCCGGCCCAGUAAGUCCUCCGUUAAAUCCAACGGCUCAACCGUUGGGCUGCGGGGGAUACUGCUGGGCUAGGGGACGGGAGAGGCGAGGGGUAUUCCCGGGGUAGGGGUAAAAUCCACUGAUCCCGGGAGGACCACCAGUGGCGAAGGCGCCUCGCUAGAACGUGCCCGACGGUGAGGGAUGAAAGCUGGGGGAGCGAACCGGAUUAGAUACCCGGGUAGUCCCAGCCGUAAACGAUGUAGGCUCGGUGUUGGGCUGCCUCAGUGGCAGCCCAGUGCCGCA
This 651-nucleotide ribosomal RNA is filed under the name uncultured archaeon. RNAcentral's name for it is "bacterial SSU rRNA". It matches the Rfam family "Archaeal small subunit ribosomal RNA", at positions 151 to 805 of the family's 1478-position model. The record is from RNAcentral.